RNAcentral lists this ribosomal RNA (500 nucleotides) under uncultured bacterium. RNAcentral's name for it is "partial 16S ribosomal RNA". It matches the Rfam family "Bacterial small subunit ribosomal RNA", at positions 30 to 523 of the family's 1533-position model. The record is from RNAcentral.
AUUGAACGCUGGCGGAAUGCUUUACACAUGCAAGUCGAACGGCAGCACGGACUUCGGUCUGGUGGCGAGUGGCGAACGGGUGAGUAAUGUAUCGGAACGUGCCCAGUCGUGGGGGAUAACGAAGUGAAAAUUACGCUAAUACCGCAUACGAUCUAUGGAUGAAAGCGGGGGAUCGCAAGACCUCGCGCGAUUGGAGCGGCCGAUAUCAGAUUAGGUAGUUGGUGGGGUAAAGGCCCACCAAGCCAACGAUCUGUAGCUGGUCUGAGAGGACGACCAGCCACACUGGAACUGAGACACGGUCCAGACUCCUACGGGAUGCAGCAGUGGGGAAUUUUGGACAAUGGGCGAAAGCCUGAUCCAGCCAUUCCGCGUGCAGGAUGAAGGCCCUCGGGUUGUAAACUGCUUUUGUACAGAACGAAAAGGUUUCUACUAAUACUAGGAGCUCAUGACGGUACUGUAAGAAUAAGCACCGGCUAACUACGUGCCAGCCGCCGCAGUAA